AUUAGGAUUACUCAUGUAAGAAAGCAUCAAUUUGUUCCUCUAUUUUGUACAUUUUUCUCUUAAAGUAUAUGUUCAAAUAUUUAGUUGACAAAGAAAAUGUUUAUAGAAAGAUCAUGAUCAAAAGUAAAUGUUUGGGCUCUGAAAUUAUUUACCUUAAAAUGUUGUCCAAUUUUGGAGAAAGAGGGGAUAUAGGUGUGUAAAAAUACUUUACUUCUUGAAAGAUUCUCUCUUCUGUGAUUUAUUGUUUGGAAGCGCAUAAAAAUGAAAGGUCAGUAGUAUUAUUGCAUUUUAUCAUUUUUAUUGGCUACUGACUUUAAAGAAUCUUGGACGAUAAUCCAGAAUUGUAUUUUCAAUAUUUUUGCUAUCUAUUCUUUAUUUGGAUUGGAUGCUAGUGCAUGUGUACUGAGUUAUAACUUGUUUUUAUUUGUGAAUUCAAUUCAUUUUCUUUUUUUCCUGCAGGGUAUUUUUGGUUGUAAUAGUUGGAAUUCGGUCACAAUUAGUCACUCUGUUUUAGAGGAGUUGAGUCUGCUUGUGGACAGAGGUCAUUUAAGGCCUGUCGUUGAUAGAGUUUUUUCUCCACAACAUGCUGAUCAAGCAAUACAUUAUGUGGACUCGCUUCUAGCAUUUGGAAAAACUGUCAUUCGAUUCAGUCAUGGUGAUGGAAGUGGUGCAUCAACAAAAUCUGAAGCAUUUGGUUGAACUAAAAUCUAGGAAUGUCCGUUUUCUUUCUUUCAUCGAUUUGCGCCGUCCAAAAUCAAACUUGUAGUAAGUUUUCAUAGUCACCUCAACAUUUUCAGGCAUUGAUGAUAGUACAUUUUUUGUACAAUUCAUCAAGUAGAACAUAUUACAUGAGAGAAAGAGUGGUUAUCAACUUGAAAGUUUUGGGAAAUUAUAUUCUUUACUUGUUUUUAUUGUAUCUCUUGUUGGUACUAAAAGAAAUUUGAGAUACUGCUAAAAUUAGUUUCAAUACAGAUUUUUCUCUCAAACAUUUAUGAAUGUGAAGAAGAUCAUACAUUUGAAUCAGGAGCUUAUUCCAUUUAAUUUUCAUUUAUUUUUAGCUCAGUCCUUUCAGCUGUUUUAAUUUUCUGAAUAGAAAUUAUGUUCAAUCACUACGUAUAGUCAGUAGCCAUCAGUACUUGUUUUGAAGUCAGAAUUGCCCCUCAUUAUUUCUUUGAGAAUUUUUUAUUUAUUCUAUCUAGGAAUAACGUUAUUUUUCCAUAAAUGGUGAAAAUAUGCAAGCUCAAAUGCAUCAACCUGUCAAUUAUUGUUUGAGAAAUUCCUUAGCAUUAAAGGGUUUUAAGGUCCAUUUUGAAUUUCAUCAAAAUGCAGCCUCAAUAUUUCUAUAGUAAUAACUUUGAUGGUAACUGACUAGGAAUAAAAGUAGAUGGAGUUUAGAAAUGUAAAUUUUUAAAAAUGGAAGAAAUUAUAUGCCAUUGUAUUUUGCCAUGUUUCAGGAAAAAUGUUGAAAUAUUUUUGUAGGAUUCUUUUAGUCCUUUUGCCAACUAAUUGCUCUAAAUUUCAAUAAUGAAGACUUCCUUUGUACUAAAAAUUGCAACGGAUGCAUGGUUGAGUGACACAUUAAUCGAUGGAGGUGCACAAUUUCCUAUUGGAACUAAUUUACCUGCUGGUAUCUACUUCCAUAUCAUGGUGCUUUAUGAUAGAGACUUAUUAAAAUUAAGGGAAGAAUUUUAAGUGUCAUAUCUGCAACUUUGAAUCUUUUUUCUGCAUCUGUUUCCUGUAUUUUUCUCCUUUAUUGAAGAGGUGAGGAAGCAGCUGAGCAGUAUUUCCAAUUUUUUAAAUUUUCCAAUUUUUAUCUAUUAUUAAGUGCUCUGAGAAGGAAUAUCACAGAUGCUCUCUUGACUUAAUACAUUUUAAAGUUUUAAGUAUUUAUUACAAAAAUAUAUGAUAUUUCAAAACUUGAAACCAAACUACAAAACUGUAUCAGAAGAAAACAACUUCAAUUAUUGUAUAAGAAUUCUUUCAGCAACUCAACUUCUAUGGAUUGCAUUGAUUCUGUUGAAAUUUUUUGAGGUAGUCAUUUGGGCAGAAUACCGAACUUGGGAAAUCUAUACCUAGUGUUAAUUUGUGGCAUUUUUGUGACUGUACCCUCUUUUAAAUUCGACCUAUAGGCCACGCCAUCACAAUUGCCAGGGAGGGGGAGGGGGUGAAUGAGUCAAUGUACCUAAGCUUUAAUUUUUGAACAAUUCCAGUCACUGACUCUGCCCCUCACCUGUCAUUUUUCAUGGUGUGGAGUUAUUUCUGUAGGAAACGAGAGGGAAAAAGGAAGUAAAAAUGAGGAUGGAAAAAUAAACUUCGAAAAAGAUCUGUUAGAAAAUAGUAUGAUGGCAAAACAAUCACAUGAAAGUUUUUUAUGAGAAUUAAAUUUUCAAAUAUAUGUGUGCGUUUUUACCGGAGACAAGAGACCCCCCACUGGUCUCAUGGUGACAGGUGGAAGCUUUUACUUUCAAGGAUUCAAAACUUCCCUAUGGACAAUUAUAAGGGAGCAACGGUCAUCACUCUUUUUCAGUUAUUGACCCAACUCCUAGGUGGAUGAUGUGUAUUGGGUGAUGUUGUGAGCCAAUCAAGUUUCUUAAACUUCGCUUUGUUUGCGAAACGAAACUCCCAACACCCUGUUAACCAUCAACUUAGUAGGUAGGUCAACAGUUGAAUGUUGAAGUCCGGAAAGUAAAAGCUUCCACCAUUGCAGAGAUACGAGUGGAGGGUCUCUUGUCUCUAGUAUUUAUCUGUCAAGGAUAAUUUUUUAUGGGACUUAAUCAAAUGGAAAGUUACUGCAGCAAGCUGAUUAUUUUUUAGUGUUUGCUCAUUUUUUUUCACCAGAUUUUUGUAAACAAAAGAUGAUCAUUGUGUACAUUUUCAAUUGAGACCCCUGUCUCAAAAAUUAUUUCAAAAACAUUUUUAAUAAUAAUUUUAAAUAAAUGUGUACCUAUUCUCAAUAUUUUUAACAGAAUUUUCAGACCAUUCAAAUCCUAUUGCACUCUCUGAGGACAAGGUUUGACCGUGGUGGUCUUUUUAAAACUCUCUAAUUAUUGUCUCAUUUACAGUCUCAUUUAGGCUAUCUCGACAAAGUACAUAUUACCUAGUUGCCAAAAAUGACCAAAAUUAUAAUUUAAGAUUAGUAGGAAGUAGGUACUUGUACUUGUAAAAUUUCUGAUUCUGCUAUAUCCAGGAAAAGAAUCUUGUAAGUUGUGUUUAGGUGAAUAAAAGAAACAAAUUUUAUUUGUUGUCUAAUUAUUUACUCAUCUUAUGGUUUUGAUUGACGCAUGAUUGAAAUCCUUAUAAAACACAUUUUACAUGAAUUUUUUUCUUUAUAAUGUUUUUAAGAACUCAUAAAAAAUUAGCACUUUAGAGGGACUUUUAAAAGUAAUUUAGGAAAUUACUUACUACUACGAGGAAUAAUGUAGGAAAUUACUGUAAUUUAAUUGCAAAAUACAAUGAAUAAACCAAUUUCAUGACUAAUUCAACAUUACACCGGUGUUACAUUUGGUAAAAUUUUUUAAACUUUUGCUCAAUUUGUGAAAGUUUUCCAUUAAAAACCAUUGAGAACCACCAUAUCCAAGGAGAGUUUGUUAAAACUCAUUUUCCUAUUUUUUUAACCGCCCCUUAUUUUGCAAAUCCAGACUUCCGUCAUGAAUAACAUCAUUCUGAGUAUCCCCUUCCCUUAUUCUAGAGGACUUUUGCCAAGGUGCGUCCCAAAAAUUAUGCAGUUUUAACAGUUAGUUAGGUCUGUAACGACAUACCGCAGAUCUGACUCUGUUUUUUUGUAACACGCCAUUGAAGGCUCUUCAUAAUGUAGAUUAUGCAUUCCUAAUUAAAAGGUCAAAGUCAGAAACCACGCAUCUCCAUUCCGAUGUUUCAACAUGUCCUUUCCUAUUUAUUUUUUCGAAGAGAUACAAACAUUGCUGGAUUUACACACAGUGGCCGUGGCCUAGGGCGGCUAAUUCUGAGGGGCCGCAAAAAAUUUAGAAAGGGAAAAACAGGGAUAGGGCGCUGCCGCUAACACCGUGCGGCGCGGCAACAUAGCGAUCCAGUCCAGAAGAAUCAGGUGCAAGAUGAUGACUAAUGAAGGCUGCAUAAUACUUGAUGGGAAAUUCUGAAACUCUGCAUAAAAAAUGUGUUGAGUGCAUAAUUUAUGAACGGCAGGACCAACCCCCCGGGCAACAUUCGUGGGUGGCGAAUAAAGCUUGACAGAUUGGGGGCGGCAUUUCCGUAAAUCCGGCCAAGCUUCAUGGGCCGAAUUUUGUCGGUUCUUCCACCGUACUUUAAUAUACUUAGGACGGGUCUCGACUGCACUUAAGUUCGGCUUAGCGCCUCUGAUUGGCCGAUGGUGCGGUUUGAACUCAUCGAUGGAUGUUGCACUCCGUGUGAAAAAGCCGACAAAAUUCGGCCCCAGAGUUCGAACAGUUGGGCCCUUGAUUUCCACAUUCAACGGAGAGCAUUAUGCCUACCUACAUUCAUAAACGUCAGUAGUUCGUGACAGGUGAAUAGCUAUGAUUUUCCUUCCUUUUCGCGUGAUACCACAUCACAUACCUACUCAGGAGGCUGAACAGUUGCGCGUAUGAUGGGUCCAUUUCCACAGCCCCCCCACAUACGAAUCUUAAAUAAAAAAUUAUAUCAUAAUUUUGUGCUAUUUUGUGCCGCAAAUUAAAAUUUUGUGCUGCAAAAUUAAGGGGGGAAACGCUCCUCAAAAUUGGGGGGGCUGUAGAAACGG
RNAcentral lists this long non-coding RNA (4729 nucleotides) under Bemisia tabaci. Its description in RNAcentral is "lncRNA ENSSSA3NGG007005". The record is from RNAcentral. Lineage: Eukaryota; Metazoa; Arthropoda; Insecta; Hemiptera; Aleyrodidae.